Long non-coding RNA from Sapajus apella (tufted capuchin), 1536 nucleotides. RefSeq lists it as uncharacterized. The record is from RefSeq and is a predicted model, not a curated record. The transcript is spliced from 2 exons. Lineage: Eukaryota; Metazoa; Chordata; Mammalia; Primates; Cebidae.
UGCGGUGUUUGAUUUUCUGUUUUUGUGUCAGUUUGCUGAGAAUGAUGGUUUCCAGGUUCAUCCUGACCCAUAAAUCCUACACAGUGACUAAAAUGUGAUGGGCCCGCCUCCUAGAGAGCCACACUGGUGUGUCAUAGCACACUGAUUGAGAACCGUGCCUCUGCUUCUGCUGGGCUGCCUCCAAAUUAUUGGGUGCAGACAUCAGAGUUGUGCCUGUAUCCUGCUAGUGUCUGCUCCUCAGAGGCCUGAUCUUCAUGCAUUCACCUCCUAGGUAUGCCGAAAUGAUGCCCAACGCUGUACCUCUAGUAAAUAUCAUGUCUUUAGUUGAGAUGAUAUCCGAGAUUUCUUCCAACCCACACUGUUUAUGUUAUGAAGUUGCAGCCUGAAAGUUCCCAUUAGAUCUUUGCCAACUGCCGCUCGGGCCUCUGGUGCCAUUUCAAAGGGCAUGCAUUUAAAAUGAGCUUGCCCUCUUGCCUUCUCUUUAAUCUCCCCUCAACCUUUUCUCUACUUGCUCUGUUUGUUCCUUACUAAUAAUGAAUAACAGCAAUACUGUCUGAGUCAAGAGAAAGGAAAUUUGAUAUAUUUCUUUUCAGAUCAUCUUUACAUAGAUCAAUCCUUCGAUAUACCGGGAAUUAUUAUGGAUGUUGGAAAAGCUGAAAAAAUAUAAGUAAAACUUAAAAAAUUUUCUUAAAGCCACAUUUCCCCUGAAUUACCAAAUAUUACAAAAAGGAAGAACAGAUACACAAUUUCUCUGUGUAUCUGUCUUCCACAAUAGGGAGCACCAUGUGAAUCGCUUAUUUGCCAGUGUGGUUGCGAUAUCAGUUUCCUUAGACUGCUGUGACACAUUACAUCAAACUUGGUGGAGUGAAACAACAGAAAUGUAUUCUCUCACAGUCCUGGAGUCUAGAAGUCUACGUUAAGGUGCCAGCAGGGCCAGGUUCCUUCUAAGAACUUUAAGGGAGAAUCUUUCCUUGCCCGAUCCAGGUGUGGCUCCCCGUGGUCCUUGGUGUUCAUUGACUUGUAGCUGCUUCACCCCAGUCUCCAACUCUUUAUUGUCAUGUGUAUGUCUAGUGUGUUUGGGCCCUUUUCAAUCCAAGCCAGAAGUGUUUCUGCUGUCCGAAAACCUUGUCAGUUGUCCACAUAAUUCACAGGGGUCUAAGCCAUCAGACAAGCAGGUCCUUUACAAAUCUUUCCUGGAUAACCUUAUUUCUAUUUCUGGCUUCUGUUGAGAUGGUUGAUUGGAUCCAUUACUCACAGGCCUAUUCGCCCCAAUAAAAAGUAGUUUAGCCCCACACUACAAGGUUGAGAAUUCAAUUUGUAUUGUAAUUUAGCCACUCAUAGGAUGAAUCUCUGCCUUUGCUUUUCAGAAAUAUCAGCUACCACCACCUUUCAGGGCAGAUGUGGAAGCUUUCAGGCACGAGAGAAAGGCCAUGUGAGGACAUAGUGAGAAGGCUGUCAUCUCCAAGGGUGACAGUCCUCACUGGGAACUAAAUGAGGCAGAACCUUGAUAUUGGGCUAUCAGCAUCCAGAACAAGG